This is a long non-coding RNA of Scatophagus argus, 433 nucleotides long. RefSeq lists it as uncharacterized. The record is from RefSeq and is a predicted model, not a curated record. The transcript has 4 exons. Lineage: Eukaryota; Metazoa; Chordata; Actinopteri; Scatophagidae.
CACUGGGUGGCAUUUGCCGGUAAAGGGGCAGCGGAAGUAUUUAUCAACCGGAAGGUUACGAGGGGCUGCAGGUGUUGUUGCCCGGGAAGCGUAACGUUUCUUGACCGUGGUCAUGGCGGAAAAUGAGUCAGAGAUCAACAUGGAAUUCAUGAACACACCCGACAAGACUUGGCCUCAAACGCCGCACUGUGAACGUCACAUGGAGAUGAACCAGCGAGACUGACGUCCUGCUCGGAUCCAAAGUGGUCCGAAGCGGCUGAAGUUCUGCCACAGUCAGAGAAGGACUCCACGUUUUCAUUGUCCGUUACCUGGAAUAUGCUGGCACCGUAAGGAGUCCUCCACGCAUUCAGCAGAUUGUCCUUCCCUGUGCUCACAAACCAUUUGCCUGCAAACACAGAACAGACGUGUUGAUGAUUAAAUCUGAAGGCCUGUA